AUUCUGGGAACUGUGGGCAAGAAGAGAGGCGGGAAAGCCAGAGCCAUCCAAUGCUUGUCUUCUGGUGCCCUCCUCCAGGAAGCCAUUCCUGGUGCCCUGGGCGCUGCUCCCAGCCUUGCUCACCCUGGGUCAUCACCGUUUUUGGAGGGGUCUGUGUCCUCCCCAGACUAUAAGACCCAGAAAAGCAGGGCCUGGAGCUAAGUCACAGUCGUGUCCCCAGCAUCCACUGACACAGAAAAAGCCACAAAGAAACAUGGUAAGAGCGUGGCAGAUAACAUCCACGGUGCUAUCGGGAGGUGACAGGUGACUGACCUCAGCCUUGGUGUUCAAGAAGAUUCCAGAAGCACGUCCUAAUCUGUGUCCUGGAAAACAACACUCUACCCCACAGCAACAAGGCAUGGAGGCCAAUGGAGAAGACAGGGAGAUGGUGCUGGAAGCAGGGUCUGCUCUUCCCCUGGGGAAGCACUGCAUCACCAGUGUCUGACACAAAGCCUGGGACAUGUGGGCUUCCAAGUGGACCUCUCCUGGAUAAAUGACCAUUAAUGAAACAGAGAAGGAGUUGAAGAGCCCCCAGAGGAGUGUGAGUCCCAGGGGUCCCGCCAGCUCCACUCCCACCUUCCAAACCUGUGAAAGUCAGGUGCCUGAGUCGCACAGUCUCUCCCACCCGAAUGCCAUGAGCUGCAGCGACCCAGCCUGUCUCUGCAGGAGGGCCAGACAUGCCGUGACAUCACCAGCUCCUCUAGGAAUAUGGGAUACAAGGAGUGGCUGAGAUCGGCUGAUCACCAGCUCACUCCGCUGCAGCCGCCCCAGAGCAAUGGCUCCCCGAAGCCGUGUUCUGGGUAAGGAGGGGAGGACCCCAUUCCCAACCGAACCCAUCUCCCAUCUCAGCCACCACCAGGGC
Molecule: long non-coding RNA, 901 nt
Filed under: Homo sapiens (human)
Lineage: Eukaryota; Metazoa; Chordata; Mammalia; Primates; Hominidae
Description: non-protein coding lnc-IGFL1-1:3
Source: RNAcentral